GAGCGCGUGAGCGCGCCCGGGCGUCUCCGUAAAGAAGAGAAAGAAAAAAUAAAAGCGCUGAUCUCGGCGUGACAGCUCAGAGCUGUCCACGUCAACACACCGAGCGAGCGGAGCGACGGCAGCAGCAGCAGCAAUGGAUUCCACGUCUCCGGAACCGUCCCUCUACACAGUUAAAGCAGUUUUUAUUCUUGACAAUGAUGGCAACAGACUUUUGUCAAAGUACUAUGACCCAGAGCUUUACCCCUCCAUGAAGGAGCAGAAAACCUUUGAAAAGAAUGUUUUUAACAAGACACACAAAGCAGACAAUGAAAUAGCUUUUCUGGAAGGGAUGACCAUCGUGUACAAGAGCAGUAUAGAUCUUUUCUUCUACGUUGUGGGAAGUGCUCAGGAAAAUGAGCUCAUGCUGAUGUCAGUACUUAACUGCCUGUUUGACUCCCUCAGUCACAUCCUCAGGAAAAAUGUGGAGCGGAGGUGUUUAUUGGAAAACAUGGAAGGAGUGUUUCUUGUUGUGGAUGAAAUCAUUGAUGGGGGGGUGAUUCUGGAGAGUGAUCCACAGCAGGUCCUACAGAAGGUCAAUUACAGGCUAAUGUCAGAGCCAGCCUAUGGCUUCGUCCUCUUUGAUUACAUCACCGGUAACGUAGAGGCACAAACAGACAGGAGCCAGCUGCUGUAGACAGACAGACAGACCGAGGGCGGAUGAGAACCCAUUAACUGAACAAAGCGUGGCUCAGGUUUUGCAGUCAGCCAAGGAGCAGAUCAAAUGGUCUAUACUGAAAUGACUGAAAACAAAUCUGAUUCUCCAAAAAGAAUGUUUUCAGUCCCAAAGCUAUUUUUACAAGGCCAAACUGAAGGGAUGGAUGUUACUGAAGUGAUGGCCAAUAGGCUGCCUUAGGUGUGUUUUUGUGACGACAUUUUUUUUCUAUUGUGUUUGACAAGUAUUUAAUUCAUUUGGCAGUAAACAUAGCCCAUAUAUACGUAGAAGUGUCCUUUACCAAGCCAAAUGACAUUUCUUGUUUUGUUAUCAUAAGUAAUAUCCAGGCAGCUAUCCAGUACCUGAAUUAUUAAAAGACGUGCAAGAAAUUGGUGGAACAACAUUGUCCGUUCUCAGUCCCACAGAACUGAUUGUGGCUCUUGGGUUUCUUUGAGGAGUUGUGCUUUUUUUUCCCCCCUUUCACUUCGUGUGUGUGUGUGACUGUGUGUAUCAACAAUAUUACAAAGCCAAAUUAAUUUCUAUUACAACACUACAAGAAUACAGAAGGUAAUACUAAAAGUUUGUUGUAUUGAUUUUCAGCUGACUCGUUACACUCAUAAUGCUUCUUUGAAGCCCAAAAGGAAAUACAGUUAUGCUUUAUGACACUAAGAAGGCACUGUGGUACAGCUGCAGGAAAUCUAAUUUAAUGAAAGUCUGCACAUGUGAAUGAAUUUUAGAACCAACAGGAGCUUAAAAAAGAUAAAAGUAAAUAAAGUGCACAGGAUCCUGUGGCCAGAGUUACAAAGAAUAUUGUCUAUUACUGUUGUGAUAAUAAUUAAAGAUUUUAAAAGACGUUACAUGUUUGAUGAAGAGAAAUAUGGCCAAAGAGAAACUAAUUAUUUUUUUACAUAUGAAUGUUGCUUUCUUUGUCUGCAAGAGUGAUAAUAAAACUAUAUUUGUCCUGGUUUCAGAUGGUCUGCUUAGCCACUAUAUAUUCUUGUACUUUUAUUUUUAUUUUCAAUUAGUUCAUCCCUGUGGAUGUCGUAUUUAUUUGCUCUCCGGGCUAAUCAGAGUUUAAAAGUGUCUAACAUAAUGAAUAUUAAUAAGCACUCUAAAGGACUUCAUUUGUGUGGGCUUGGUCUGGAAGAUUAUUUGUAGAAAGCAGGUGACGUCAGUUGGCACGUGGUUAAACUCACCGAGCCAAUGGUUCGUUAUGGGUUUAUUUUCCGAUGAUAUUAUUGGCUGGCUGCCGCACACGCCUGCAACUCAUCGCAGGGCACAAGAAAUCAGACGAAAGCCUUAAAUUCAAGGUACAAAGAAAAAAUUUAUGUUUUUAUGUUAUUAUCAGAAUUAUUUUGGCAGAAAUUGAAUUAUUAUUGAUAUCUUGAAAUAAAACUGAAUAAUACUUUUGAAA
This is an RNA transcript of Oreochromis niloticus (Nile tilapia), 2105 nucleotides long. It is a transcript of the gene named COPI coat complex subunit zeta 2, with no coding region annotated. The record is from RefSeq and is a predicted model, not a curated record. NCBI's taxonomy places the organism in Eukaryota, Metazoa, Chordata, Actinopteri, Cichliformes, Cichlidae. The transcript has 10 exons.